AAGUCGUAACAAGGUUUCCGUAGGUGAACCUGCGGAAGGAUCAUUACAGUAUUAGUUUUUUUUCCUUACCAGCGCUUAAUUGCGCGGUGGAAAAUAAAAACUUACACCCCAUGAUUUUUCUUUUUAUGGAACUAUUGCUUUGGCUUGGUCGAAAGAUUGGGCCAGAGAUUUAAGUAAAACUUCAAUUUUUAAUUGAAUUGUUAAAUUAAAUUAUAAGUCAAUUUGUUUGAUUAAAUUCAAAAAAAUUUAAAACUUUCAACAGUGGAUCUCUUGGUUCUCGCAUCGAUGAAGAACGCAGCGAAAUGCGAUAAGUAAUAUGAAUUGCAGAUUUUCGUGAAUCAUCGAAUCUUUGAACGCACAUUGCGCUCUUUGGUAUUCCAGAGAGCAUGCCUGUUUGAGCGUCAUUUCUCUCUCAAACCCUUGGGUUUGGUGUUGAGUGAUACGCUGAGGAAACUGAGCGUUUGCUUGAAAAAGAUUGGCAUGAGUGUACUAGAUAGUGCUCCUUGAUUUAUUCAAUGUAUUAGGUUUAUCCAACUCGUUGAACGGAAUCUUGGCGGUAAAUUUCUGGUGUUAUUGGCUCGGCCUAAUAACUUUUUAUAAGUUUGACCUCAAAUCAGGUAAGAAUACCCGCUGAACUUAA
RNAcentral lists this ribosomal RNA (640 nucleotides) under uncultured fungus. RNAcentral's name for it is "eukaryotic LSU rRNA". The stretch from base 251 to 404 matches the Rfam family "5.8S ribosomal RNA". The record is from RNAcentral. Lineage: Eukaryota; Fungi.